Small nuclear RNA from Molossus molossus (Pallas's mastiff bat), 105 nucleotides. Lineage: Eukaryota; Metazoa; Chordata; Mammalia; Chiroptera; Molossidae. The record is from RefSeq and is a predicted model, not a curated record.
GUGCUCACUUCGGCAGCACAUCUACUAACAUGGGAACGAUGCAGAGAAGACUGGCAUGCCCUGUGCAAUGAUGACACGCACAUUCGUGAAGUGUUCCAUAUUUAA